Molecule: ribosomal RNA, 497 nt
Filed under: uncultured bacterium
Lineage: Bacteria
Description: partial 16S ribosomal RNA
Rfam family: Bacterial small subunit ribosomal RNA
Source: RNAcentral
GACGAACGCUGGCGGCGUGCCUAAUACAUGCAAGUUGAGCGAUGAAGAUUGGUGCUUGCACCAAUUUGAAGAGCAGCGAACGGGUGAGUAACGCGUGGGGAAUCUGCCUUUGAGCGGGGGACAACAUUUGGAAACGAAUGCUAAUACCGCAUAACAACUUUAAACAUAAGUUUUAAGUUUGAAAGAUGCAAUUGCAUCACUCAAAGAUGAUCCCGCGUUGUAUUAGCUAGUUGGUGAGGUAAAGGCUCACCAAGGCGAUGAUACAUAGCCGACCUGAGAGGGUGAUCGGCCACAUUGGGACUGAGACACGGCCCAAACUCCUACGGGAGGCAGCAGUGGGGAAUCUUCGGCAAUGGACGAAAGUCUGACCGAGCAACGCCGCGUGAGUGAAGAAGGUUUUCAGAUCGUAAAACUCUGUUGGUAGAGAAGAACGUUGGUGAGAGUGGAAAGCUCAUCAAGUGACGGUAACUACCCAGAAAGGGACGGCUAACUACGUG